CGAUGAUUUGAAAAAACGUAUUACGGAAUCAGAAGACCAGUUAGCAUACAAAAACAAAAGAAGUUCAAUUGUAUAAUAAUGCAAUGGUGGCACUCGAGAUGCAAAAGUUUGAGCUCAUCCAAGCCUAAAUGGGCAAACUUUAGCCUAUAACUACCGUGCCAAACUUGAAGACUGCAAUAAAAUCUCAAAUAGAAUAAAAGCAGAAAUUUAGGGUACAUUUUUGCCGAUAUCAUAGCGAGCAUUUACUUUUUUACCAUAAAGAUGAAAAAUGUGUAAUUUCGAACGAGUUGUCGAAUUAUCGGGAUAUUAUUGUAAAAAAACAAUUUGACUUGAAGAAAAAAGAGGACGAAGUUCAGGGAUAUGCUGAAAAAUUAACGAAAAUUAAAUCAAAAGUAAAAUCUUCUCGCCACAGCACAGAAUUCACUUCAAGAGUAGAUGAAAGUGAUGAUAGUAUACAUAAUAUUAGUGAUGCAAGAACUUUAUCCGAAAAAAGCCUUUUAUUAAAAAAAAAAUUAGAAGAAAAUCGUAAAAUAUUUGAACAAAGAAAUAAACACUUAAAUGAAAGUAAACGUGCAGCUGAAGUACAAGUUGAGAAAAUACUUCAGCAAUUAAAUGAUAGCUCCAGUGAUGAUAUUAAUAUUCCAUAAUGGAAAUCUAUUAAAAUGCGAUCUUUUUUAAUAUCUUAUAAAAUAUAUUUACAGAAUUGCAUGAAGUCAAACAAGAACUAUAGACAUUCGAUUCUUUAAAAUGCGUUGAAUUUGAAGAAAAAGAAGAAUAAUGCAAUCAGAAUCAAAACAAGGACAUGGCAAAUGAUGUUACACAAAAUAAUUUAGAACUAUUGAGAGUAUUAAAUGAAUUACAAAACCAAGUGAAUGUGGUAUUAAACGAAAAAAGUGCAUUAGAAGAGAAAUUCAA
Chelonus insularis is the source of this 915-nucleotide long non-coding RNA. RefSeq lists it as uncharacterized. Lineage: Eukaryota; Metazoa; Arthropoda; Insecta; Hymenoptera; Braconidae. The record is from RefSeq and is a predicted model, not a curated record. The transcript has 4 exons.